Non-coding RNA from Pelobates cultripes (western spadefoot toad), 262 nucleotides. The record is from the annotation of a GenBank genome assembly. NCBI's taxonomy places the organism in Eukaryota, Metazoa, Chordata, Amphibia, Anura, Pelobatidae.
CAGUGAGGGAAUUAAGGACGGCACGUUGUCCUUGUAACGGGGAUCCAGCAGGGUGGCCACUCAGUAAUCAGCACAAGUUAGAAUGUGGGCAACUCGGCAGUCGUUGCGCAGGCACUUUGGUGACUCUAGAUAACCUCGGCCCGAUCGCACGUCCCCCUGACGGCGACAACGCAUUCGGAUGUCUGCCCUAUCAACUUUCGAUGGUACUUUCUGCGCCUACCAUGGUGACCACGGGUAACGGGGAAUCAGGGUUCGAUUCCGG